AGGAAGGGGAGGGAUU
This 16-nucleotide transfer RNA is filed under the name Oreogrammitis dolichosora. RNAcentral describes it as "partial tRNA-Ser". The record is from RNAcentral. Lineage: Eukaryota; Viridiplantae; Streptophyta; Polypodiopsida; Polypodiales; Polypodiaceae. RNAcentral also lists the same sequence under 4 other names.